GGUGGGUACGGGCAGGCUAGAGUGUGGUAGGGGAGACUGGAACUCCUGGUGUAGCGGUGAAAUGCGCAGAUAUCAGGAAGAACACCGAUGGCGAAGGCAGGUCUCUGGGCCAUUACUGACACUGAGAAGCGAAAGCAUGGGGAGCGAACAGGAUUAGAUACCCUGGUAGUCCAUGCCGUAAACGUUGGGCACUAGAUGUGGGGAACAUUCCACGUUUUCCGCGUCGUAGCUAACGCAUUAAGUGCCCCGCCUGGGGAGUACGGCCGCAAGGCUAAAACUCAAAGGAAUUGACGGGGGCCCGCACAAGCGGCGGAGCAUGCGGAUUAAUUCGAUGCAACGCGAAGAACCUUACCAAGGCUUGACAUGCACCGGGCGACUCCAGAGAUGGGGUUUUCUUCGGACUGGUGCACAGGUGGUGCAUGGUUGUCGUCAGCUCGUGUCGUGAGAUGUUGGGUUAAGUCCCGCAACGAGCGCAACCCUCGUUCCAUGUUGCCAGCGCGUAAUGGCGGGGACUCAUGGGAGACUGCCGGGGUCAACUCGGAGGAAGGUGGGGACGACGUCAAAUCAUCAUGCCCCUUAUGUCUUGGGCUUCACGCAUGCUACAAUGGCCGGUACAAAGGGUUGCGAAACUGUGAGGUGGAGCGAAUCCCAAAAAGCCGGUCUCAGUUCGGAUUGGGGUCUGCAACUCGACCCCAUGAAGUCGGAGUCGCUAGUAAUCGCAGAUCAGCA
This 729-nucleotide ribosomal RNA is filed under the name Brachybacterium sp. SKS49. Its description in RNAcentral is "bacterial SSU rRNA". It matches the Rfam family "Bacterial small subunit ribosomal RNA", at positions 625 to 1354 of the family's 1533-position model. Lineage: Bacteria; Bacillati; Actinomycetota; Actinomycetes; Micrococcales; Dermabacteraceae. The record is from RNAcentral.